ACGGAAGGCAGCAGUGGGGAAUAUUGCACAAUGGGCGCAAGCCUGAUGCAGCAACGCCGCGUGAGGGAAGACGGUCUUCGGAUUGUAAACCUUUGUCUUUGGUGAAGAAGCAAUGACGGUAGCCAAGGAGGAAGCCACGGCUAACUACGUGCCGGCAGCCGCGGUAAUACGUAGGUGGCAAGCGUUGUCCGGAAUUACUGGGUGUAAAGGGAGCGCAGGCGGGACAGCAAGUUGGAUGUGAAAUACCGAGGCUUAACCACGGAGCUGCAUCCAAAACUGUUGUUCUUGAGUGGAGUAGAGGCAGGCGGAAUUCCGAGUGUAGCGGUGAAAUGCGUAGAUAUUCGGAGGAACACCAGUGGCGAAGGCGGCCUGCUGGGCUUUAACUGACGCUGAGGCUCGAAAGUGUGGGGAGCAAACAGGAUUAGAUACCCUGGUA
RNAcentral lists this ribosomal RNA (436 nucleotides) under uncultured Oscillospiraceae bacterium. RNAcentral describes it as "bacterial SSU rRNA". It matches the Rfam family "Bacterial small subunit ribosomal RNA", at positions 341 to 792 of the family's 1533-position model. Lineage: Bacteria; Bacillati; Bacillota; Clostridia; Eubacteriales; Oscillospiraceae. The record is from RNAcentral.